Topomyia yanbarensis is the source of this 1680-nucleotide long non-coding RNA. RefSeq lists it as uncharacterized. Lineage: Eukaryota; Metazoa; Arthropoda; Insecta; Diptera; Culicidae. The transcript has 3 exons. The record is from RefSeq and is a predicted model, not a curated record.
UAUUAUCGUUCUCACUUACACGCUCACUUUCACUUCACCUACACGUCACUUCACUUGUUUUUACCUAUUACCGUUGUCACCUAAAGUGAAGUGAUGAAAAUGAACACCGUGAAGUGAGAGUGACAGUGAGGUGAUGUUCGGAAUAACCAUGGCGUGUUAUUCAUAAUUGUCUGCUUCUGUCGAUUUGUUUUUUUAGCGGAAACUUUGUUUUUGUAUUGAAUUGUGCUCUGAUACCGACAGUGAAGAGGAUUAUUUGGUAAAAGCAAAAGUUCUUAUUUAUUUUACUGUAGAGCAAUUUCUUCCUAGCACAUCGCCAAGCUGUCCAGAAUGUACGGAGGAACCGGUGCCAAUCCGUUGUUCUGAACUCACAAUGUUUCCAUACAACAGUGAGUGUUUGGCCAGGACGAAAGAGAACUUCCUCGCCCUCGGGUCGGAAGGUCGGGAAGGUUCAGGAUCAAUCAGCAUCAAUGAAGACUUUAGUAAUAACAUUACCACCAGCUCGCUGCUAAAACAUAGUUAGCCAAGCAACGGCAGUAACAGCGACAGAAACCAGCAACAGAUAGAUUAAGCUGGUGGGGCUCCAAACAAAGUACCAGCAUGAUUAUCCACGUCUCCAAUCGACCACCGACUGCGACAAUCAAUGUGAAUGAAGAAACCCAGUGCAGCGGGACUUUUGGGCGUUAGCAGGAACCACUAAGUCAGGCAUUAAGAAAUCCGACAUGUAUGCGGAUCUCGAAGGUAGCAACGGUAUGGUAAAUUUGAACGCUAUGUCAACUAAGCUCCGUGGUAUGGUGGAUAUUACGUGUCCGUUUCCAGCGUAGUGUACAAGGUAGCAAUGGUCGUUCCCCCGAAGGAUGCAAUAAAGAUAGUACCAGCUCAAAAGGUGGUACCGAGCGUUAAUUCGACAAAAGCCUUUCCCGCACUGUCCGAAUCCGGUGGCAAGCCGGAUGGUCCCGUUAAACCUGCCCAGUGGAUUGUCGCUACUAAGGUGAAUUCGUCUUCGUUCUCACUUGGAGGUGGUGUCUCAGAUGCCACUGGUGGAACAGGGACAGUUUCAUCGAAAAAGAAACUCCGGCCUCCAACCUGAAGGAGGAAGGCAACUUUGUGAACUUGAAAGCUCCAACUGGAAAGAAAUCUGGCAGGGUGAGGAUAGCAGUGGCAACAACAAAGACAAGAACGACAGUAAUACUAGUGUGAUAUGAAAUAAUUGUCAUACUGCCAGCUUUCUUAAAUGGCUAAUAUUUAAACGUGUAUGUCUCCAAUAAAAUAAUCAAAGAAGUAGAUAGUAAUGUUAUGCCCGUAUGUUCGUAAAAAUAUUCAUUCGUUGCUUUUUAUCAAUCACAGCGUGAUCGUUUUGGUCAUCAUUACUACCAAUUGUUGCUCGCCCCAUUUCGAAGUCAAACUUCUGCUUUUUCUAUAACUUUUAUGGUUUUGGCAGUUCAACACAAUUUGCCGUUUGCUUUUCGAAGAAAGCUUUCCGGAAAUUUCGUUUGGUUGCUCGUCCUCCCUCACGCCUUGCUAAAUGACUUGUUCCAGGUUCUUCAAGAGCUGCAUUGUCAUGUGCUGCCUAACUUCAAGGUUGCUUGGAUCCUCGUUUUGUUCUUCGUUACAAGAGACUGUUGUACUGUGUGAUGAUGGCGUUCUAAAAACAGAAUCUAGAUUAGAAAGUGUUACUUAUGC